This 1168-nucleotide long non-coding RNA is filed under the name Cricetulus griseus (Chinese hamster). RNAcentral's name for it is "lncRNA (ENSCGRG00015041102.1)". The record is from RNAcentral. Lineage: Eukaryota; Metazoa; Chordata; Mammalia; Rodentia; Cricetidae.
CCAGGCUCUCGCGUGGCGGGCGCUAGUAUCUGGAUGGAAGUCUAUACGCUUUCGGAGUCAUGUCUUCCUAAGUAAUCCGUCCAGCCAUGGGACACGGACUCGUCAGAGAAGCCAAAUCCGAGGUCUCCUGCUCUGGGUACAGAAUUAGAAUCUGCACUUUAACAAGAUCCCAUCAAACUGCUUGACAGCGGUAGGGAGCGGUUCCACAUUCGAAUGGUUUUCAUUAUGCCGCUUACAGCUCUACCGAGCGACCUCGUUUUCAUUGUCCCAGGAAGCAAUGAAAUGAAGGGUGGAAGAGAGAAUUGACUAGACGCAUGAAGUGUGCCUGGCAAGUACUGCAGAAGGCUUACUUAUAUGUGGUGCCCAGUUCACCAUAGUGGUGUUUUCUCUUACUGUGAUUAGCUGUGUGGGAGCAUGCAUUCAGCUCAAGAUGAAGUUUGGCCAAGGAGGCAACAGAGGAGUUGGGAGCGCAUGGUGGGCUGGGAAUAUACCGUUGGACCAGCGACUGGAAACCAGUAGACUAGAAAGUGAAGGCAAAGCAGGCUGAUGGCGGGCCCAAUGGAGUCUAAGAUUGAUGGGCAUGAGGGUAUCGGAGUGAGCGGAGAAGAUGAUUAAGACGCUCAUAGAAUAGCUAGAGCUCAGCCUGGCAUUGGUGGCACACACCUUUAAUCCCAGCACUCGGGAGGCAGAGGCAGGCGGAUCUCUGUGAGUUUGAGACCAGCCAGAUCUACAAGAGCUAGUUCCAGGACAGCCUCCAAAGCCACAGAGAAACCCUGUCUCAAAAACCGAAAAAAAAAAAAAAAAAGAAAAGCUAGACCUCCAGCAGCCACUUUGGACCAUGAUGUAGCUAAAAACAACAGGCUAGAAAAAAACUAUGCAACUAGCAAAUCAUCUCAUAAAAGAUGUCUACCUCCAGACAUUUUUUUUUUUAUGAGAGGGAAAUAAAUGUCAAUCUUGUUAGGCCACGGUUGUUUACUGCUUUUGUAUUAAAUGGAGCUGGACCAAAUCCUAGUUAAUACAUUGGAUUGGAUUGGUAAAGUACUAAUUACAUAGAUAUUAAAUCACCAUCAAGAAGAACUGUGUCUACAGACCUGAAGCAUUGAGCUGGGUACUGAAGUCCUCACUGGAUGAAGGGGAAUAAAUGAGUCAAUAAAUAAUUAUAAACAAG